GACGAACGCUGGCGGCGUGCUUAACACAUGCAAGUCGAACGGAAAGGCCCUGCUUUUGUGGGGUGCUCGAGUGGCGAACGGGUGAGUAACACGUGAGUAACCUGCCCUUGACUUUGGGAUAACUUCAGGAAACUGGGGCUAAUACCGGAUAGGAGCUCCUGCUGCAUGGUCGGGGUUGGAAAGUUUCGGCGGUUGGGGAUGGACUCGCGGCUUAUCAGCUUGUUGGUGGGGUAGUGGCUUACCAAGGCUUUGACGGGUAGCCGGCCUGAGAGGGUGACCGGCCACAUUGGGACUGAGAUACGGCCCAGACUCCUACGGGAGGCAGCAGUGGGGAAUAUUGCACAAUGGGCUGAAGCCUGAUGCAGCAACGCCGCGUGCGGGAUGACGGCCUUCGGGUUGUAAACCGCUUUCGCCUGUGACGAAGCGUGAGUGACGGUAAUGGGUAAAGAAGCACCGGCUAACUACGUG
RNAcentral lists this ribosomal RNA (468 nucleotides) under uncultured bacterium. RNAcentral's name for it is "partial 16S ribosomal RNA". It matches the Rfam family "Bacterial small subunit ribosomal RNA", at positions 28 to 507 of the family's 1533-position model. The record is from RNAcentral.